GACGAACGCUGGCGGCGUGCUUAACACAUGCAAGUCGAACGGAAAGGCCCUGCUUUUGUGGGGUGCUCGAGUGGCGAACGGGUGAGUAACACGUGAGUAACCUGCCCUUGACUUUGGGAUAACUUCAGGAAACUGGGGCUAAUACCGGAUAGGAGCUCCUGCUGCAUGGUGGGGGUUGGAAAGUUUCGGCGGUUGGGGAUGGACUCGCGGCUUAUCAGCUUGUUGGUGGGGUAGUGGCUUACCAAGGCUUUGACGGGUAGCCGGCCUGAGAGGGUGACCGGCCACAUUGGGACUGAGAUACGGCCCAGACUCCUACGGGAGGCAGCGGUGGGGAAUAUUGCACAAUGGGCGGAAGCCUGAUGCAGAAACGCCGCGUGCGGGAUGACGGCCUUCGGGUUGUAAACCGCUUUCGACUGUGACGAAGCGUGAGUGACGGUAAUGGGUAAAGAAGCACCGGCUAACUACGUG
This 468-nucleotide ribosomal RNA is filed under the name uncultured bacterium. RNAcentral's name for it is "partial 16S ribosomal RNA". It matches the Rfam family "Bacterial small subunit ribosomal RNA", at positions 28 to 507 of the family's 1533-position model. The record is from RNAcentral.